GUGAAAAACAUCAAGCCAUUGGUUUGUAGCUAUGGGCGUGUUCCCCCGCGGACAUGCCUCAAUGAGCAUUGGGCGCGGUUAGCACCGCUAGCGAAGUAGUAAUGCUAUUCUUUGCAAAAGUGCCAUCAUGCCCCACCAAAUACCCCCAAGUG
Molecule: unclassified non-coding RNA, 152 nt
Filed under: uncultured fungus
Lineage: Eukaryota; Fungi
Description: sequence contains ITS2
Source: RNAcentral